This 2904-nucleotide ribosomal RNA is filed under the name Escherichia coli. RNAcentral's name for it is "23S ribosomal RNA". It matches the Rfam family "Bacterial large subunit ribosomal RNA". The record is from RNAcentral. Lineage: Bacteria; Pseudomonadati; Pseudomonadota; Gammaproteobacteria; Enterobacterales; Enterobacteriaceae.
GGUUAAGCGACUAAGCGUACACGGUGGAUGCCCUGGCAGUCAGAGGCGAUGAAGGACGUGCUAAUCUGCGAUAAGCGUCGGUAAGGUGAUAUGAACCGUUAUAACCGGCGAUUUCCGAAUGGGGAAACCCAGUGUGAUUCGUCACACUAUCAUUAACUGAAUCCAUAGGUUAAUGAGGCGAACCGGGGGAACUGAAACAUCUAAGUACCCCGAGGAAAAGAAAUCAACCGAGAUUCCCCCAGUAGCGGCGAGCGAACGGGGAGGAGCCCAGAGCCUGAAUCAGUGUGUGUGUUAGUGGAAGCGUCUGGAAAGGCGCGCGAUACAGGGUGACAGCCCCGUACACAAAAAUGCACAUGCUGUGAGCUCGAUGAGUAGGGCGGGACACGUGGUAUCCUGUCUGAAUAUGGGGGGACCAUCCUCCAAGGCUAAAUACUCCUGACUGACCGAUAGUGAACCAGUACCGUGAGGGAAAGGCGAAAAGAACCCCGGCGAGGGGAGUGAAAAAGAACCUGAAACCGUGUACGUACAAGCAGUGGGAGCCUCUUAAUGGGGUGACUGCGUACCUUUUGUAUAAUGGGUCAGCGACUUAUAUUCUGUAGCAAGGUUAACCGAAUAGGGGAGCCGAAGGGAAACCGAGUCUUAACUGGGCGUUAAGUUGCAGGGUAUAGACCCGAAACCCGGUGAUCUAGCCAUGGGCAGGUUGAAGGUUGGGUAACACUAACUGGAGGACCGAACCGACUAAUGUUGAAAAAUUAGCGGAUGACUUGUGGCUGGGGGUGAAAGGCCAAUCAAACCGGGAGAUAGCUGGUUCUCCCCGAAAGCUAUUUAGGUAGCGCCUCGUGAAUUCAUCUCCGGGGGUAGAGCACUGUUUCGGCAAGGGGGUCAUCCCGACUUACCAACCCGAUGCAAACUGCGAAUACCGGAGAAUGUUAUCACGGGAGACACACGGCGGGUGCUAACGUCCGUCGUGAAGAGGGAAACAACCCAGACCGCCAGCUAAGGUCCCAAAGUCAUGGUUAAGUGGGAAACGAUGUGGGAAGGCCCAGACAGCCAGGAUGUUGGCUUAGAAGCAGCCAUCAUUUAAAGAAAGCGUAAUAGCUCACUGGUCGAGUCGGCCUGCGCGGAAGAUGUAACGGGGCUAAACCAUGCACCGAAGCUGCGGCAGCGACACUAUGUGUUGUUGGGUAGGGGAGCGUUCUGUAAGCCUGUGAAGGUGGCCUGUGAGGGUUGCUGGAGGUAUCAGAAGUGCGAAUGCUGACAUAAGUAACGAUAAAGCGGGUGAAAAGCCCGCUCGCCGGAAGACCAAGGGUUCCUGUCCAACGUUAAUCGGGGCAGGGUGAGUCGACCCCUAAGGCGAGGCCGAAAGGCGUAGUCGAUGGGAAACAGGUUAAUAUUCCUGUACUUGGUGUUACUGCGAAGGGGGGACGGAGAAGGCUAUGUUGGCCGGGCGACGGUUGUCCCGGUUUAAGCGUGUAGGCUGGUUUUCCAGGCAAAUCCGGAAAACCAAGGCUGAGGCGUGAUGACGAGGCACUACGGUGCUGAAGCGACAAAUGCCCUGCUUCCAGGAAAAGCCUCUAAGCAUCAGGUAACAUCAAAUCGUACCCCAAACCGACACAGGUGGUCAGGUAGAGAAUACCAAGGCGCUUGAGAGAACUCGGGUGAAGGAACUAGGCAAAAUGGUGCCGUAACUUCGGGAGAAGGCACGCUGAUAUGUAGGUGAAGCGACUUGCUCGUGGAGCUGAAAUCAGUCGAAGAUACCAGCUGGCUGCAACUGUUUAUUAAAAACACAGCACUGUGCAAACACGAAAGUGGACGUAUACGGUGUGACGCCUGCCCGGUGCCGGAAGGUUAAUUGAUGGGGUUAGCGGUAACGCGAAGCUCUUGAUCGAAGCCCCGGUAAACGGCGGCCGUAACUAUAACGGUCCUAAGGUAGCGAAAUUCCUUGUCGGGUAAGUUCCGACCUGCACGAAUGGCGUAAUGAUGGCCAGGCUGUCUCCACCCGAGACUCAGUGAAAUUGAACUCGCUGUGAAGAUGCAGUGUACCCGCGGCAAGACGGAAAGACCCCGUGAACCUUUACUAUAGCUUGACACUGAACAUUGAGCCUUGAUGUGUAGGAUAGGUGGGAGGCUUUGAAGUGUGGACGCCAGUCUGCAUGGAGCCGACCUUGAAAUACCACCCUUUAAUGUUUGAUGUUCUAACGUUGGCCCCUAAUCGGGGUUGCGGACAGUGUCUGGUGGGUAGUUUGACUGGGGCGGUCUCCUCCUAAAGAGUAACGGAGGAGCACGAAGGUUGGCUAAUCCUGGUCGGACAUCAGGAGGUUAGUGCAAUGGCAUAAGCCAGCUUGACUGCGAGCGUGACGGCGCGAGCAGGUGCGAAAGCAGGUCAUAGUGAUCCGGUGGUUCUGAAUGGAAGGGCCAUCGCUCAACGGAUAAAAGGUACUCCGGGGAUAACAGGCUGAUACCGCCCAAGAGUUCAUAUCGACGGCGGUGUUUGGCACCUCGAUGUCGGCUCAUCACAUCCUGGGGCUGAAGUAGGUCCCAAGGGUAUGGCUGUUCGCCAUUUAAAGUGGUACGCGAGCUGGGUUUAGAACGUCGUGAGACAGUUCGGUCCCUAUCUGCCGUGGGCGCUGGAGAACUGAGGGGGGCUGCUCCUAGUACGAGAGGACCGGAGUGGACGCAUCACUGGUGUUCGGGUUGUCAUGCCAAUGGCACUGCCCGGUAGCUAAAUGCGGAAGAGAUAAGUGCUGAAAGCAUCUAAGCACGAAACUUGCCCCGAGAUGAGUUCUCCCUGAGACUUAGAGUCUCCUGAAGGAACGUUGAAGACGACGACGUUGAUAGGCCGGGUGUGUAAGCGCAGCGAUGCGUUGAGCUAACCGGUACUAAUGAACCGUGAGGCUUAACCUU